Molecule: ribosomal RNA, 256 nt
Filed under: uncultured bacterium
Lineage: Bacteria
Description: partial 16S ribosomal RNA
Rfam family: Bacterial small subunit ribosomal RNA
Source: RNAcentral
GACGUAGGUGGCGAACGUUAUCCGGAAUUAUUGGGCGUAAAGGGUGCGUAGAUGGCUUGAUAAGUUAGCAGUGGGAAAUCGAGGCUCAACCUCGUGGAAGCUGGUAAUACUGUCAGGCUCGAGUGCAGGAGAGGUUAACGGAACUCCAUGUGGAGCGGUAAAAUGUGUAGAUAUAUGGAAGAACACCAAUAACGGCGAAGGCAGUUAACUAUUCUGUUACUGACAUUGAGGCACGAAAGCGUGGGGAGCGAACAGG